Molecule: unclassified non-coding RNA, 253 nt
Filed under: uncultured Hyphomonadaceae bacterium
Lineage: Bacteria; Pseudomonadati; Pseudomonadota; Alphaproteobacteria; Hyphomonadales; Hyphomonadaceae
Description: contains 16S-23S intergenic spacer region
Rfam family: Bacterial small subunit ribosomal RNA
Source: RNAcentral
UACGAAGGGGGCUAGCGUUGUUCGGAAUUACUGGGCGUAAAGCGCGCGUAGGCGGGCUAUUAAGUCAGAUGUGAAAGCCCGGGGCUCAACUCCGGAAUUGCAUUUGAAACUGGUAGCCUAGAGACCAGGAGAGGUUAGCGGAAUACCGAGUGUAGAGGUGAAAUUCGUAGAUAUUCGGUGGAACACCAGUGGCGAAGGCGGCUAACUGGACUGGUACUGACGCUGAGGCGCGAAAGUGUGGGGAGCAAACAGG